This 497-nucleotide ribosomal RNA is filed under the name uncultured bacterium. Its description in RNAcentral is "partial 16S ribosomal RNA". It matches the Rfam family "Bacterial small subunit ribosomal RNA", at positions 28 to 507 of the family's 1533-position model. The record is from RNAcentral.
GAUGAACGCUGGCGGCGUGCCUAAUACAUGCAGGUCGAGCGAACGGACGAGAAGCUUGCUUCUCUGAUGUUAGCGGCGGACGGGUGAGUAACACGUGGAUAACCUACCUAUAAGACUGGGAUAACUUCGGGAAACCGGAGCUAAUACCGGAUAAUAUUUUGAACCGCAUGGUUCAAAAGUGAAAGACGGUCUUGCUGUCACUUAUAGAUGGAUACGCGCUGCAUUAGCUAGUUGGUAAGGUAACGGCUUACCAAGGCAACGAUGCAUAGCCGACCUGAGAGGGUGAUCGGCCACACUGGAACUGAGACACGGUCCAGACUCCUACGGGAGGCAGCAGUAGGGAAUCUUCCGCAAUGGGCGAAAGCCUGACGGAGCAACGCCGCGUGAGUGAUGAAGGUCUUCGGAUCGUAAAACUCUGUUAUUAGGGAAGAACAUAUGUGUAAGUAACUGUGCACAUCUUGACGGUACCUAAUCAGAAAGCCACGGCUAACUACGUG